RNAcentral lists this transfer RNA (72 nucleotides) under Camelus bactrianus (Bactrian camel). It matches the Rfam family "tRNA". Rfam says of the family: Transfer RNA (tRNA) molecules are approximately 80 nucleotides in length. RNAcentral also lists the same sequence under 1 other name. The record is from Rfam by way of RNAcentral. Lineage: Eukaryota; Metazoa; Chordata; Mammalia; Artiodactyla; Camelidae.
GAGGGUAUGACUCAAGGGCAGAGUGAAUGCUUAGCAUGCAUGGGAUCCUGGGUUUAAUGCCUGGUACCUCCU